AUGGGGGGCCGCACCGGUCAGGUCCAGCGAGGAGCCGGGGCGCGAGUUUGGGGGCGCAGCCCGGCCCGGCGGGGGCGGCGAGCGCGCGUCCCCCCGCCCGCUCAGGCAGCGUCGAGGCGCGAGCAGCUCAGCCAGCCUUGCAGAGGGAGCUCUCGGCAGCUCUGGGGUCCCUCUGCUCGCAGCCGCAGCAGCGCCGCCUGCGCCACUCGGCGGAGACGGAGACCAGCGGCGGCGGCGCGCGGACCGGGAGCGACCGCCGAGCAGCCGGGCGGCAGCGGUACGCUCGCAGAGCGGCCGGGAUGCACCUGCGGAUUCCACCCAACCUGCGAUGAAGCUCACCGACCGCAGACUGGAAGAUGUUCUGACGACCCAGGGAGGAGAGCCUUUGGUACCUUGGCAAUCUGACUCAGGACUGUGUUCUGAACUGUACCUUAGAUGUCACGAAUAACAAACAGACCUAGCAUCAAGGAGACCCCUUCUCCAUUCAGCUCCUUGUUCCAUUAUGAGAAUGCCAGCCCAAUAUUGACAGAUUUUCUGGGGGUUUUGUUGAAAAGGGGAAUCCGAAAUCUAGAUUUUUGUAAUUAAAAUUUUUGGGUGUUCAGGUGUUAGCAACUAAGUCAUGUUUUUAAACUGCAUGAGCUGAUUAGACCAGAUGUGUGGGCUGUCAUUUGGAGGAAAGAGUAAAGAGAAGUUCAAGGCCAGACUCUAGACACUCCAGCAUUUAGAAAUAGGAUAAUGGAGAAGGAAUCUGAAAGGAGGCAGUCAGGAAGGCAGAAAGAAAUCCACAAGAAUGGGCUCCUGGGUGGCUCAGUGGUUGAGCAUCUGCCUUUGGCUCAGGUCGUGAUCCCAGGGUCCUGGGAUCAAGUCCCAAAUUGGGCUUCCCGUAGGGAGCUUGCUUCUCCCUCUGCCUAUGUCUGUGCCUCUCUUUGUGUGUCUUUCAUGAAUAGAUAAAAGAUUUUUAAGAUCCACAAGAAUGUUAAAUUUGGAAUCCCAGGGCAGAGAAGGUUUCCAGGAGGGGGGAGGGGUCAGUUGUGUCUAGGCUGCUGAGAGGUCAACUCGGGUCAGAGAUACGCUGUUGGAUUGGUCACCUUGGUAUUCAAUGGAGAAUAUCAUUGGUGAAUUUGGCUUGAUUCAUGUUGGUAGAUCAAGAGAUGUGGACCUCACUAGAAUGGGUUGAGAAUGAUUGGAAAAGUAAGGAAAUAGAGACAGCACACAUAGGCAACAUGAGAAGUUUUGCCGUGAGGAGAGCAAAGAAAUUUAGGGAGAACUGUGGAACGAUAUUGGAUCAGUGAGGAGAUGCUUUAAAACAUAGGGUUCCAAAUAUAAUAAUAAUACAUAAAUAAAUAAAUAAAUAAAUAAAUAAAUAAAUAAAUA
This 1374-nucleotide long non-coding RNA is filed under the name Canis lupus dingo (dingo). Its description in RNAcentral is "lncRNA (ENSCAFG00020018188.1)". Lineage: Eukaryota; Metazoa; Chordata; Mammalia; Carnivora; Canidae. The record is from RNAcentral.